Hemicordylus capensis (graceful crag lizard) is the source of this 704-nucleotide long non-coding RNA. RefSeq lists it as uncharacterized. The transcript is spliced from 5 exons. The record is from RefSeq and is a predicted model, not a curated record. NCBI's taxonomy places the organism in Eukaryota, Metazoa, Chordata, Lepidosauria, Squamata, Cordylidae.
GAUGGAGAGCGGGGGAAGUUCCUUCCUUCAACUCCGGUCCCAGAGAGGGCUACCUCCAUUACUGAAUUUGGAUGUAACGGAGGCAGCCACAAACCGGAGGCUCUCUUCAAAUCAAGCAUUCAAAUUGGAAUGUGGUGAAUGAACCCUUGGAUUGAGUUAGGGUUCAAACUGCGGUUUUCAACGUUUGGACAUUCAGGUUUGGAGACCUCUGGCUGCUCUGCCUCCCAUUCCCUGUUAUGCCUGAAUCCGGUGCGCCCCUGCCCUGAGACCAUUUCUGUGUGCCCAUGGUCUUCAUAGGACGAUAGCAGAGUAACUUUCUGAAGGCUGGCCCAGCACCUGAGCACUUCCAGAAAGAGAUGUCCCAACUCCUGGAAGGCCUUGAAGGGGUCCUGUGCCAGAUGGAUGAUAUCCUCAUUUUUGGAUCCACACAAGCACAACAUGAUCAAUGACUCCAUGCUGUCCUGAAAUGGUUGGAGACCUCCAGCAUCACUCUUAAUGAUAAAUGUCAUUAAAAAACUGAGAAGAAAUGAAAUCAGAAGGAGAAAUCAAUGUGCAGAGAGAAACCUCAGCUACACCACCACUGCUCUUAUGCCAAGGAGCAACUCUCUGCAAAUCUCCACAUAUGUCUUGAAACAGGCUGAGGCUCCAGUCUAAGACACUCUUAUUCUAAGUGAGAGAAAUCGUUGAAAAGCAACAGCCAACCG